Long non-coding RNA from Mirounga angustirostris (Northern elephant seal), 5667 nucleotides. RefSeq lists it as uncharacterized. The record is from RefSeq and is a predicted model, not a curated record. The transcript has 3 exons. Lineage: Eukaryota; Metazoa; Chordata; Mammalia; Carnivora; Phocidae.
CUUCGGCAUCAGAGCGACCUCGGGCUGUCCGAUGGGGCUCAGGGUGGCAUCCACACAGGCAGUGCCCAGAGCUUGACCCACAGCCAGCUAGCUCUCUGUGGCCGAAGGCAGCGGUGACCCCUCCCACUGGGGCCCAGAUACAACGGGUGGAGCGGAGGGCAGUGGGGCCCUCCGAAGCCUUUGCACUCUCAGGGAUGCCCCCGAGCGAGCCCGUGGGACCCCAAAAUGGGACAGCUACAGAGGCUGCAGGGGUGAGGGAGAAGGAAACACAGACCUCACCUCUACCACUCUGCAGGCAGAAGGAACAGCCAAUGCAGUUGACCCAGGCGAGCUGGAAACAGGCCAGCCGGCCACAGUGGGGGACUGGCUCAACCCACCAUGGUCAAGGCUUCCUGGGGGCCACACGGCCACACAGAAGAGGGUCCUGGGACCACAGCCUGCAAAAGAGAAAGAACCCAUGUCCAUCACAGAAGUCUGUCUGUCUUGGAUAAGGCACAACCCUCCUCUAGUGAAGGAAAGAAGACCAAUGGUUGCCUGGGGCUCAAGGAGCUCCCCAAGUCCCCCAGGCAAAGCAGAAGCUCUGUGCGAGUGGAAAGAGCCUCACGCGGGGGCUCCUGAGGCCACGGCGCCCGCCUUCCUGCGGCGCAUCCAUCUUGUUACUGCCGAGCUGGAGAAUUGCUCCCGGGGCCGAAUCUUGAAUAUUCAUCUGAUUUACGGCCCGCUGCCGACAGCUUUAUGAAUCCGCCCACCAAUACCUGCAGCCGGUCAUCAAUCUUCCCCCGAGAUUGUGCUUCUGCCAGUAACUCAUGAAUUAAAGAGGCCCCCGGCGGCCCCCACGCCUCCCUCCCCUCGCGGCGCGGCGGGAUGGAAGGAGGGCCUGACCAGAAGUCAAAACACUCUUGUCGUCUUGCGGUGGUGGCGGCUCUGGGUGACCUUGGAUGACUCGCUCAGACUGUCCACAGUGAGCAAGAGAAACUUGGGAGCCUUCAGAUCUGCCUCUUCCCAGCUGUGAGCCUCAGUUUCCCCACCUGGAGAGACGGGGGCAGUAGCACCUCUGUCUGCUUCCCUGGGUGGGGGGCCGAGGCAGGUGGGGGGCGAGCGAGCCGUUCCGUGGCAGGGCAUUUGGACCUGUCUGCAGGAGCGAGGGAGAUGGUGGUGCUCACAGCGAGCCCCCCACCAUCUCUCGUACGCAGUGUGAGAAUGAAGGCAGCAUUUCCUUCGAGGGCUUUCGGGGGACCCCAGGAGGCACUGAGAAGGCACUCAGCACAGUGCUCUGCACCUGGCAAGCACUCGAUGGGGGGUGGAUGUGAGGAUUGUUUAUCUAGGAAGGCACAAAUGUCAUCAGCUUAGCUCUGGGCUCAGGAAGCAGCUCUGAAGUGUUGGCAGAGCCCACCCUCAGCAGGGACCCCUGACCAAAAACUGCUGCCCAAAGCCCAGGGCCAUGUCCAGUUGGCUGGCAUGGGAGCCCCCCAGAGUCUGCCACAGGGAUAACACUCAGCAAAUGGUCCCCAGUUGCUCAAACUUUCACCCAACCACUGGUAGUGUCUGCAGAGCGUUGGGGGAACCCAGGCCUGGCUCCACCUGGGUCAGUAGAUGGCUGGAAGGCAGACAGCGGCAGGUAGAUGUAGCCCCUCUGGACUCAGACACAUCGGGGUUCAAAUCCUGUCCUGCCCUGAGCAUCCAGGGACCUUGGCAAGUCUCUCACCCCGUGAGCCCCAUAAGCUGGAUCUUGGUGCCAUGGCUGCCUCGGGUGGGGGGGAGGCUGGGGGCUCAGAGAGGCAGCCUGCUGUAAGUGCCUUCUCUGCCACAUGGGAGCCCACAGGAGUGUCGGCCCCAAUGGGUGUCACUGAAUGUCUGGCUGACACCAGGCACCGUUCUGGGCACCGGUGGGGUGGGGUGAGGGUUAGUCCAGAUCCUGUUCCUCAGUGGCUCGCUCAACAGAGGUUCAUCAGUCUCUUCAGACCACAAAAAGCUCAGGAGACCCGUCCCCAAGGACCCACUGAGGGACAGCCCCUCCCCAGGUCCCAGCUCCCACCCAUCUCUGCAGUGUGGCAGUGUCCCCCGGAACUGUGGCUUGCUGCAACGGCAUCAUCCCUGCCAGCCUUCGGGGUGCCCUUCCCAAGCCGACACGCCAGCCGAUCAAUCCUCCCCUCCGCACCGUGCCACGGCUCCGGCCUGGGGGUCCUGCCCACAGCACGGCUCCUUUGUCCGACGGGCGCUCCCCUACAGAGCCCCAGGACACAAGGGAGGCAGUCAUCGGAACGAGCUGACAUGUACUGGGCACUUACUGUGUGCCAAGCAUGUUCAGAACAGCUGACGUGCACCCCUUCUCUGAACCCCCACCAAGAGGAAGGUCGUGUUAUUAUCUCUCUGGUACAAAGCAGGGAGCCGAGGCAUAGAGAGGUAAGGGGACUCACUCGAGGUCACACAGCUCAGAAGUGGCUGACACCAGAGCCUACGCCCUCACCCCCUGCCGUGCCCACUGCAGCCCAGCGCAGCUGCCCCUUGCCCCGUGAAGUGUGCGUGGCACCAUGAGGGUUCAGUGAGACUCUGCUCCUUGAAAAUGAACUAUCUGACCUGGGGAGUCACCUCACCACUCUGAACCUCAGUCUCCUCUUCUGCAAACUGAAAACAGUGGGCCCACUCGCUGCUGGAAUGUGGGCUGGAUCCACCGUGAAGAGGUACCUAAAGCCCCAGCCUGGUGCAGGGCCACGGGGAAUGCUCUCCCCUUCUGGCCAUGCUGCUCUGCACCUGGACCCCCUGGAUGUCAGAAGUCCACCACUAACCAGCCUAAUCCUGGGAGAAGGGUACCUUGGAAGGAGGUAAAGGGGGAGGCGGAGGCCAAAGCUGGGAGCACCAGCUUACCUACUUGGCAUUGCCUGCAGAGGGGUGGAGGGUGGAGGGGUGGAAGAGCCUGAAGCUCACCAGGGAAAAGGUCUCAGCUUCUGGGAACAGCAUUUCCCUGGGGCUUCAGCCUCCACCACUAGGGUUUCUGAUCUAUGGACUUUUCACCUUGGCAUCGGCUUCCCGAACACGUUGGCAGUAUUUACCCUGUGGGAGGAGGAAGGGGCCCGAUAGAUGGUGUGCGCAUGCACGCUAGAGCAGAACAUCAGCCAGGGCAGCUGGAUCCGGGCCUUCGAGAGCCCCCAGCUCCUGGAGCCUCAGAUGUAGGCUUCCCUCCUGGUCUUUCGUCCUUGCUCUCUGGCCCCAUCCUCCUUCAACUCUUGCUCUUAGGACUAAAACGCUGGUGGUUGGGAAGAUGCCAAACUCACAGCCCCCCUCUCUGGGGAUUUACACCCAGGGUGGAGACCAGGGCUAAAAAUCCAAGCUCCCACCUUUGCUAGCUAUAAGAACGCCCCUACUGCCUCAUCUACAGAAUGGGGGAUCAUAAUAACACCCAAGUCUCCAGGUUGAGAGGAGGAACUAAAGAAGGAUGCCUGGAAAGUGCGCGCACACACAAGCAUUCAGCAAGUGGCAGGUGUUGUCUCCAGCCAUAUGGGUGCCCAGUAAAUGUUCGCUAUAGGUGGAUGGCGGGAGAGAGGAUAAAUGGAUGGAUGGAUGGAGGACAGACAAAUGAACGUAUACUUGAAUGGAUACCUAGAUAGGUAAAUAGAAGUAGGUGGACAGACAGAUAGUGGAUGUGCAGUCACUAUCCAUCCAUUGAUUUAUCCAUCCGUCCAUCCACCCAUCCAUCCAUCCAUCCAUCCAUCCAUCCAUCCAUCCAUCCAUCCAUCCUUCCUACCAUCUCUGUUGGAUGUGUGCUUGCGCACACGGCUAGGUAGAUAGAGAAUGGGACAGAUAGGAAGACAAAUACACAGACGGAUGGGUAGAUGAGUGAAUAAAUGGGUGGCUGGCUGGCCCGAUGGGUGGAUGGAUGGUGGGUGGGUAGAUGUUCCAAUGGACAACUGAAUGAAUGAACAGAUGGAGAGAUAGAUGAAUGGACAGAUGGAUUGCUGGAUGGCUGGGACCAGAAACUAAAUGCUAAAUUGCCUCCCUCCCGAAGGUGGUAAUAACAAUUGCUUCAGCUCCUGCCUGGUACCACAUACAUUAACACGGCCACAGGGGGCCGGAACGCCGCAGCCUGCACAAUCUGCUCAUUAACUGACUCACGGAGCUUUUCACCUAUUCGAAACCAACAGGGUGGCAGCGUGACAUUUAAGAUUUCCUUUCAGCAAUCACUUGCUUGGCCUUUCACAGAACACAGCGUACGGCUGUUCGCUGGCUUAUGUUCUCCUCCAAAGGUGCCCGUGAGCCCCCCAUGUGGUUCCAGGUUCCCCAGGGCUCGGGGGGGUGUGCCCCCAAAAGUUGGGAGCCCCUUCCCCCUCAGCUGCCUUGCCACACUCUCUCUCUGCAGAAGUGCUACCAGUUACCUUAAUUACCCUUCAGUUAGGGGGUUUCAUUUAUAACGGAGUGGCGAGGAAGUAUUGGAGAAAGAGUCUCCUUGGCAACCAAGUUUUUAAACACAAGAAUUCUCCGAGUUUUAAAGCCACUUCUCAUCUAAUUUCCCCCCUGAAAAUUAGCUUGGAACUUUUCAGAUGCUGAAAUUUUUAGCAGAACAGCAGGCUAGCACUUAUGUCUGAAACCAUAAAAGACCUAGAUUUCUCCCCUGCCAGAGGCAAGAGCCUGGGAAGUUGUUCAAUUUCCGGUGCCACUUUGUUCUUGGUGGAGAAGCAGGAACUGCCACAGCCAUUAUGAAGUAACCACGGAGAGCCACAUUUUCUGACCUGCAGUCGGUCACACUCCCCACGCCAACCUGUUUCCUGGACUCAGGUUGUUCAAGAUCCCCAUCGUCUGAGUUCUGCCAUGUGGGCUGGAUGGAGAGACCCCUGGGACAAUCGAGUGGUCUGGGCCCAGCUCCCCAGGUUGAGAAGGAUGGCACCAACCAGCACCCCAAAGUGGAAAGCAUACCAUUUCAGAUUUCAGGGUCUGCUCUCCACUGAGGUUUCUCUCACUAAAAGCCUCCUGUCUCCUCCCUGUGCCAACAAAAUGAAUCCCAGCUCAGGUCCACGGCUUGGUUUUUCAUAAUCUGCUCCAGCCUGGGGCACCCACUCCAACUCUCUCCACUUCCCAUGGUCCACACACCUUACUAGGACCAAGCCAUGUUUCUGCCCACUCAGCUUCCAACUGUCUAGAUGGCACUUACUCCCAACUCACGGUGCACCGAUCCUCAAACUUUCCACCCUCAGCCCGCCUUGAUCCUUGCUUGUGCCCCUUAAUCCACCUGCAAUUCCUAUACUCUGUCCUUUCGACCCUGGCUUUCCAAACUUGACAUCAUUUUACUAGGGCUGCUCACAUGCCACUUCCUCUGAACCGUUGUAGCAAUCUGUCUACACCCCUGAGAACAUCCAGCUUUUCUGCUCUGUCCAGCUUAGCAGUUACCUCGUCCUGAAGACACAUGGUAUUGUGGGAAAAUCAGGCAGAACUGAUUAAGCUUCUGGCUCUCACAGCUUGGGAGGUGCAUUGCCCUGGUGAGAAGAUGAAAGGGUGGAUGGAAGGGAGAUGAAGGGUUUACAUCUAAUGGACCCUACAGUGGUCAGAUGAGCCCCUAAGUGGAGGUUGGAUGGUCAACUGGGUAGAUGUGUGGAUGGAUGGAGGGCAGGCGGAGGCAUAGAUGGUUGGAAGAUAAAGAAAUGGAUAAUUAAGUGGAAGGGUAAGGGGCUGGAUUGA